This 190-nucleotide ribosomal RNA is filed under the name uncultured bacterium. RNAcentral describes it as "partial 16S ribosomal RNA". It matches the Rfam family "Bacterial small subunit ribosomal RNA", at positions 338 to 525 of the family's 1533-position model. The record is from RNAcentral.
CCUACGGGAGGCAGCAGUAAGGAAUAUUGGUCAAUGGGGGGAACCCUGAACCAGCCAUGCCGCGUGCAGGAAGACGGCCCUACGGGUUGUAAACUGCUUUUGUACGGGAAUAACCCGCCAUACGUGUAUGGCGCUGAAGGUACCGUAAGAAUAAGGAUCGGCUAACUCCGUGCCAGCAGCCGCGGUAAUA